Molecule: ribosomal RNA, 1718 nt
Filed under: Acinetobacter baumannii
Lineage: Bacteria; Pseudomonadati; Pseudomonadota; Gammaproteobacteria; Moraxellales; Moraxellaceae
Description: partial 23S ribosomal RNA
Rfam family: Bacterial large subunit ribosomal RNA
Source: RNAcentral
AGUCAAGUAAUUAAGUGCAUGUGGUGGAUGCCUUGGCAGUCAGAGGCGAUGAAAGACGUGAUAGCCUGCGAAAAGCUCCGGGGAGGCGGCAAAUAUCCUUUGAUCCGGAGAUGUCUGAAUGGGGGAACCCACCUACUUUAAGGUAGGUAUUGCAACAUGAAUACAUAGUGUUGCAAGGCGAACGAGGGGAAGUGAAACAUCUCAGUACCCUUAGGAAAAGAAAUCAAUUGAGAUUCCCUCAGUAGCGGCGAGCGAACGGGGAUCAGCCCAUUAAGUUAUGUGUGUUUUAGUGGAACGCUCUGGGAAGUGCGAACGUAGAGGGUGAUAUUCCCGUACACGAAAGGGCACACAUAAUGAUGACGAGUAGGGCGAGGCACGUGAAACCUUGUCUGAAUAUGGGGGGACCAUCCUCCAAGGCUAAAUACUCCUGACUGACCGAUAGUGAACCAGUACCGUGAGGGAAAGGCGAAAAGAACCCCUGUGAGGGGAGUGAAAUAGAUCCUGAAACCGCAUGCAUACAAGCAGUGGGAGCACCUUCGUGGUGUGACUGCGUACCUUUUGUAUAAUGGGUCAGCGACUUAUAUUCAGUAGCGAGGUUAACCGUAUAGGGGAGCCGUAGAGAAAUCGAGUCUUAAUAGGGCGUUUAGUUGCUGGGUAUAGACCCGAAACCAGGCGAUCUAUCCAUGAGCAGGUUGAAGGUUGGGUAACACUAACUGGAGGACCGAACCCACUGUCGUUGAAAAGCCAGGGGAUGACUUGUGGAUAGGGGUGAAAGGCUAAUCAAGCCUGGUGAUAGCUGGUUCUCCCCGAAAGCUAUUUAGGUAGCGCCUCGGACGAAUACCAUAGGGGGUAGAGCACUGUUUCGGCUAGGGGGUCAUCCCGACUUACCAAACCGAUGCAAACUCCGAAUACCUAUGAGUACUAUCCGGGAGACAGACUGCGGGUGCUAACGUCCGUAGUCAAGAGGAAAACAAUCCAGACCGCCAGCUAAGGCCCCAAAAUCAUAGUUAAGUGGGAAACGAUGUGGGAAGGCAUAGACAGCUAGGAGGUUGGCUUAGAAGCAGCCACCCUUUAAAGAAAGCGUAAUAGCUCACUAGUCGAGUCGGCCUGCGCGGAAGAUGUAACGGGGCUAAAACUAUGUGCCGAAGCUGCGGAUGUAUACUUUGUAUACGUGGUAGGGGAGCGUUCUGUAAGCCGAUGAAGGUGUGUUGAGAAGCAUGCUGGAGGUAUCAGAAGUGCGAAUGCUGACGUGAGUAACGACAAAACGGGUGAAAAACCCGUUCGCCGAAAGACCAAGGGUUCCAGUCCAACGUUAAUCGGGGCUGGGUGAGUCGACCCCUAAGGCGAGGCCGAAAGGCGUAGUCGAUGGGAAAAUGGUUAAUAUUCCAUUACUUCUGUGUAAUGCGAUGAGAGGACGGAGAAGGCUAAAUCAGCCUGGCGUUGGUUGUCCAGGUGAAAGGAUGUAGGCAUGUAUCUUAGGCAAAUCCGGGGUACUCUAUGCUGAGAUCUGAUAGCAAGCUGUACUUGUACAGCGAAGUGGUUGAUGCCAUGCUUCCAGGAAAAGUCUCUAAGCUUCAGUUACACAGGAAUCGUACCCGAAACCGACACAGGUGGUCAGGUCGAGUAGACCAAGGCGCUUGAGAGAACUCUGCUGAAGGAACUAGGCAAAAUGGUACCGUAACUUCGGGAGAAGGUACGCUGUUGUUGGUGAUGGAACU